AGUGAACGGCUGGCGGCAUGCCUAACACAUGCAAGUCGAACGGCAGCACAGCAGUAGCAAUACUGUGGGUGGCGAGUGGCGGACGGGUGAGGAACACAUCGGAAUUUGCCCAGUCGUGGGGGAUAACGUAGGGAAACUUACGCUAAUACCGCAUACGACCUUACGGUGAAAGCGGGGGAUCGCAAGACCUCGCGCGGAUGGAUGAGCCGAUGUCGGAUUAGCUAGUUGGUGGGGUAAAGGCCUACCAAGGCGACGAUCCGUAGCUGGUCUGAGAGGAUGAUCAGCCACACUGGGACUGAGACCACGGCCCAGACUCCUACGGGAGGCAGCAGUGGGGAAUAUUGGACAAUGGGGGCAACCCUGAUCCAGCAAUGCCGCGUGUGUGAAGAAGGCCUUCGGGUUGUAAAGCACUUUUAUCCGGAACGAAACGUGCGGGGUGAAUAGCCUCGUAAACUGACGGUACCGGAGGAAUAAGCACCGGCUAACUUCGUG
Molecule: ribosomal RNA, 492 nt
Filed under: uncultured bacterium
Lineage: Bacteria
Description: bacterial SSU rRNA
Rfam family: Bacterial small subunit ribosomal RNA
Source: RNAcentral